Peromyscus californicus insignis is the source of this 1655-nucleotide long non-coding RNA. RefSeq lists it as uncharacterized. NCBI's taxonomy places the organism in Eukaryota, Metazoa, Chordata, Mammalia, Rodentia, Cricetidae. The record is from RefSeq and is a predicted model, not a curated record. The transcript has 3 exons.
GCUGAUGGGGAGUCAGAAAGUCAGUCAAUAAAAGGAAUCUGACUCUUCAUUUGCAAUGAGGGGUGGCGGGCGAGGGCGUAGCAAGCCUGGACUCCUAGAGGGCCCGUGUCCCCGGGUCCCCCCCUCGCACCAGGCCCACUCGCGUGGGGAGGCAAGGCUGGGAGAGGAGCCGGCACCAGAGCGCAUCCUGAAGCCCACACCAAAGCCUGCGGGUGGCCGAAACAGCCAAUGGCCCUGAGGUUGGAGAACGAUUGUGGGCCUGCGGGACCGGCUGGCGUCUUGUGCCUCCUCUGGCCCAACAUCAGCUGCUCUAUCCCGCCCCCUUGUUCCGUCCCCUUCCCAGACACACGAAAGAUCUCGAUGGAUGGAUGUAUCUGGGUUUGAAUGGAGAUGCGGAGUGUGCUUCCCGCCCGAGGGCCUCGGGCUUCAAGCAGAAGGUGUGGCUUUCCACCUCAAGAUCCAGAUCAAAGGGUGUCUCACUAAACCGGAGCUCCCUGAUUCUUCUAGACUGACUGGCUGUCAAGCUCCACAGGUCCUCCUGUUGCUGCUUCUCCAGCACUGGGAUGACAGGGACUGACCACCGUAGCCAGCUUCUUGUGUGCCUGUUGGAGAUCUGAACUCAGGUCCUCAUGCUUGGGCUACAAGCACUUUGUAGACUGAGCCAUCUCCCCACCCCCUGGUUUGUUUUGUUGAGACCAGGUAUCUCUCUAUGGAAUCAAGACCGGCCUCAAACAAGCAAGCCUCCUGCCUCAGCCUGUCCAGAGGCUUUUCUUUCUAAAACCCUGGACCACAUUCAGCUCUGAGCGUUUCUUUGACUUCAGUUCUUGACACCGGGUCUGCCAGGAGCCAUUUUUUCCCCCCUGCUCACUCCACGCUCAUGCACAAGCAUGCUUCUCCGAGAAAGUGGGUUCCACCUAGGAAUGAAAUGAGUCAUGUGCUCCCUUCAGGACCACCGCCACAGCAUGGUGUCAACUCUCACUCACCUUCUGAAAAUUGAGUUUGUCAGUACUCAGCCACACAGCUGAGUGAAGUGUUGUGUGAUGCAGGGGCGUCUCCUGGGAGAGAGAAACUGGCAUAAACCACAUCCUAAUGGGAUCCAGAAACAAAGAAUCGUGAAUGAAGUGUUAAUUGCAUUUAUAAAGACAUUAACAAAGGAAUUAAAACGGCAGAAUCUUCCAUCCCCCACUCAGAAUUCACAGGAAAGAACAGUGCCCAAAAGAGAAUUUUAACAAUAACCAUCAGGGUUGACUGCUUGUCCACUGCAGAGAGAACGCUCGAUAAACACUAACUUCUCAAAGAACACCUUGGGUCCAUUAUCUCGAGUACAUUAAGGAGCAGACAUUUUAACCCAUCUCACCUCUACUUCUCUCCUUGUUUUCAUAUGAUUUAAGUUUCCAGGGAAUCAAGAGGCCUUGCCACAUUGCUUUGCUACCUCUGGGGAUGAUGGUGAACAGUUUGACUCUAACUAACCCUGACGUUCUUGUUGGUAUGGAGUGCUUGUUGUCUGGGAGACUUUGUUUGAAGUAAAAUGACAAGAUUGGGACUUUCCAUAACUCUUGAAUAUUGGAUCUUCUAGAGAUAAUCUGCAGUGAGGCUGACCCGGGGCCCCCUGCCCUUCCCUUUGGCUGAGCCUUCAGAUGCUGACCCCAGGACUA